This 442-nucleotide long non-coding RNA is filed under the name Triticum aestivum (bread wheat). RNAcentral describes it as "long non-coding RNA (TAES_LNC015746)". Lineage: Eukaryota; Viridiplantae; Streptophyta; Magnoliopsida; Poales; Poaceae. The record is from RNAcentral.
CUGCUGGGUGCUGGCCUGCCAUCACAAGGCUAUAACCAUAUCAACGCUGACAAAGUUCUUGAGGCUAGGCUCAUCUGAGCUCAUGAUUCAUGAAGAACCUUUGUUUGCCUCCAUCGCAUGCUAAAGUGCCUGGUUAUGUAUACUGAAUAGCAUCUGGAUCCUGAGUCCUGACUGCAAGCGGCCAAAGACUGAGGAGCUAGGUAGGAACAACGGACUAAAUUCUCAUGCAGCUCAUAAGUUAAUUAUCUUGUCUCAUAAGCUUGACAAUAGUUCCUGUUUGUCAUGAAUCUUCUUUCUUCAUCACUCUUCUUAACAGUCCUUUCUUCGUAUUACUUUCAAGACAUGGUCAUUUAAGCCUACCGGUACUCUCUAUUCAACACGAUUUGAAUUUAUACAGAUUACUUAAUGGACACUAAUAUAUAUCUUUUGCCAAUGGCAGCAG